This 759-nucleotide ribosomal RNA is filed under the name uncultured bacterium. Its description in RNAcentral is "bacterial SSU rRNA". It matches the Rfam family "Bacterial small subunit ribosomal RNA", at positions 62 to 833 of the family's 1533-position model. The record is from RNAcentral.
UUGAGCGGAGAUAUAUGGAGCUUGCUUUAUAUAACUUAGCAGCGAACGGGUGAGUAACACGUAGAUAAUCUAUCCUAUACUGGGGGAUAGCCCGAUGAAAGUUGGAUUAAUACCGCAUAUAGCUAUAUAGUUGCAUGAUUAUGUAGUGAAAGAUUUAUUGGUAUAGGAGGAGUUUGCGGCACAUUAGCUAGUAGGUGAGGUAAAGGCUUACCUAGGCGACGAUGUGUAGCCGGUCUGAGAGGAUGAACGGCCACAAUGGAACUGAGACACGGUCCAUACUCCUACGGGAGGCAGCAGUGGGGAAUAUUGCACAAUGGGGGAAACCCUGAUGCAGCAACGCCGCGUGAGUGAAGAAGGUUUUCGGAUUGUAAAGCUCUGUUAGCAGGGAAGAGGAAGGACGGUACCUGCAGAGGAAGCCACGGCUAACUACGUGCCAGCAGCCGCGGUAAUACGUAGGUGGCAAGCGUUGUUCGGAAUAACUGGGCGUAAAGGAUGCGUAGGCGGUUAAACAAGUUAUAUGUUAAAUAUAUAGGCUUAACCUGUAGAAAGCAUAUAAAACUGUUUAACUAGAGUGCAGGAGAGGUAAGUGGAAUUCCUAGUGUAGCGGUGAAGUGCGUAGAGAUUAGGAAGAACACCAGUGGCGAAGGCGACUUACUGGACUGUAACUGACGCUGAGGCAUGAGAGCAUGGGGAGCAAACAGGAUUAGAUACCCUGGUAGUCCAUGCUGUAAACGAUGGGUACUAGGUGUGGGUUGUGAA